UACGGAGGGUGCAAGCGUUGUUCGGAUUUAUUGGGCGUAAAGCGCGUGUAGGCGGUUUUUUAAGUCUGAUGUGAAAGCCCCGGGCUCAACCCGGGAAGUGCAUUGGAAACUGGGAGACUUGAAUACGGGAGAGGGUAGUGGAAUUCCUAGUGUAGGAGUGAAAUCCGUAGAUAUUAGGAGGAACACCGGUGGCGAAGGCGGCUACCUGGACCGAUAUUGACGCUGAGACGCGAAAGCGUGGGGAGCAAAC
Molecule: ribosomal RNA, 250 nt
Filed under: uncultured delta proteobacterium
Lineage: Bacteria; Deltaproteobacteria
Description: partial 16S ribosomal RNA
Rfam family: Bacterial small subunit ribosomal RNA
Source: RNAcentral